AGAAAGAGAAUAAGCAGGGUUGUUAUACAUUGAAAAACACACAUAACCAGAUUGGUCUCUGUCUGUUUUUAUUUCCAUGUUUUACAUUUUCCCUUCAUAUUGCAAUGCAACAAAUAGAUUGGAUUGUAUUCUGUUUUUGUCACCACUCUGUGUUCUGUUUAGCUUGGUGCCAUUUCCCCCCUCUGUUUCUCUCAUGAUUUAAUCCUGUCCGUUUCCCCCUUCUCUUUAUCUCUGCUGACUCCUCCCUUCUCUUUAUCUCUGCUGACUCCUCCCCUUUCGUUAUCUCUGCUGACUCCUCCCUUCAUUUCCCUCUCCCUCCGCUCUCUGACACACUCAAACACGCACACAUGCCCUCCUCCCCCAUCGCUGCAGUGUCUCAACUGCCUUGGAGCAAACCAGAGAGGAAAUAGAACAGACAAUAAUAAGAGAGACGAGAAAGAGGGGGAUAGAAAGAGAGAGAGUAUGAGUGGAAGAGAGAGUGUGUUAUAGGAGAAUGUUGGACUAAGAGUGGAUUGCACACUGCUUAUCUCUCCCAUGCGAGUGUUUGUCUGCAGUAUCCCUGGUGAACGGAACCUGGACGUUGAAACGGUGAAGGAGUAUGAGGUUAUUGGAGAGACAGAGCGUACAGUGGAGAAGGAGGUUUUAAAGAAGGAAAUUAUGAUUUCAACAAGGAUUGGAUCCCCAAAGACAAAGCUUGGAGGACCUUCCACUGGUGGCGAAGUGUUUACUUUGUUUGUUUUGGGUUUUGUAUAUCAAGAAUGCUGCCAAAGCCUGCUAGUAAUAAACCGUUUUAACCCUUCCCUUGGACUGGUGUAGUGUGUUUGUAUGUGUAAACCGAAACUGCUACAGUACAAUACAUCUGCAUGUAACCAUUUUUACCAGAUAGACCAACAUUGUUUAUAUAGACAGUAAAAAUGACAGGACCUAAAAUGUAUUUCCUUUCAUAAUAUCAAGGAAACCUGAUUUAAUAACACUGUCAGCAAAAAACAUUGUGUCCUGUCUGUCAAGUCAUUUUCAAACCAAUUACA
Molecule: long non-coding RNA, 1028 nt
Filed under: Oncorhynchus kisutch (coho salmon)
Lineage: Eukaryota; Metazoa; Chordata; Actinopteri; Salmoniformes; Salmonidae
Description: lncRNA (ENSOKIG00005049291.1)
Source: RNAcentral